Molecule: ribosomal RNA, 328 nt
Filed under: uncultured eukaryote
Lineage: Eukaryota
Description: partial 18S ribosomal RNA
Rfam family: Eukaryotic small subunit ribosomal RNA
Source: RNAcentral
CCCUUAGAUGUCCUGGGCCGCACGCGCGUUACACUGAUGCAUUCAACGAGCUUAUAACCUUGGCCGAGAGGCCUGGGCAAUCUUGUUAACGUGCAUCGUGAUAGGGAUAGAUUAUUGAAAUUAUUAAUCUUGAACGAGGAAUUCCUAGUAAACGCAGAUCAUCAAUCUGCAUUGAUUACGUCCCUGCCCUUUGUACACACCGCCCGUCGCACCUACCGAUUGGAUGGUCCGGUGAAGCCUCGGGAUUGUGGUUCUUGCCGCUUUAUUGUGGCGUGACCGCGAGAACUUGUCUAAACCUUAUCAUCUAGAGGAAGGUGAAGUCGUAACC